GCGCCGCUAGCUCAGCUGGAUAGAGCGUCUGACUACGGAUCAGAAGGCCGGGUGUUCGAAUCAUCCGCGGCGCGCCA
Molecule: transfer RNA, 77 nt
Filed under: Pseudomonadota bacterium
Lineage: Bacteria; Pseudomonadati; Pseudomonadota
Also listed under: 1 other name
Description: Proteobacteria bacterium (sediment metagenome) tRNA-Arg
Rfam family: tRNA
About the family: Transfer RNA (tRNA) molecules are approximately 80 nucleotides in length. Their secondary structure includes four short double-helical elements and three loops (D, anti-codon, and T loops). Further hydrogen bonds mediate the characteristic L-shaped molecular structure. tRNAs have two regions of fundamental functional importance: the anti-codon, which is responsible for specific mRNA codon recognition, and the 3' end, to which the tRNAs corresponding amino acid is attached (by aminoacyl-tRNA synthetases). tRNAs cope with the degeneracy of the genetic code in two manners: having more than one tRNA (with a specific anti-codon) for a particular amino acid; and 'wobble' base-pairing, i.e. permitting non-standard base-pairing at the 3rd anti-codon position.
Source: RNAcentral